This 451-nucleotide ribosomal RNA is filed under the name uncultured bacterium. Its description in RNAcentral is "partial 16S ribosomal RNA". It matches the Rfam family "Bacterial small subunit ribosomal RNA", at positions 354 to 796 of the family's 1533-position model. The record is from RNAcentral.
GUGGGGAAUUUUGCGCAAUGGGGGAAACCCUGACGCAGCAACGCCGCGUGAGUGAUGAAGGCCUUCGGGUCGUAAAGCUCUGUCAGAGGGGAAGAAAUGCAGGGGUGCUAAUAUCAUCUUUGCUUGACGGUACCCUCAAAGGAAGCACCGGCUAACUCCGUGCCAGCAGCCGCGGUAAUACGGAGGGUGCGAGCGUUGUUCGGAAUUAUUGGGCGUAAAGCGCGUGUAGGCGGUUUGGUAAGUCUGAUGUGAAAGCCCCGGGCUCAACCUGGGAAGUGCAUUGGAAACUGUGAGACUUGAAUACGGGAGAGGGUAGGGGAAUUCCUAGUGUAGGAGUGAAAGCCGUAGAUAUUAGGAGGAACACCGGUGGCGAAGGCGGCUACCUGGACCGAUAUUGACGCUGAGACGCGAAAGCGUGGGGAGCAAACAGGAUUAGAUACCCUAGUAGUCC